GAUGAACGCUGGCGGUAUGCUUAACACAUGCAAGUCGAACGGACUCUUCGGAGUUAGUGGCGGACGGGUGAGUAACGCGUGAGAAUCUGGCUUUGGGUUCGGGACAACCACUGGAAACGGUGGCUAAUACCGGAUGUUCCGAGAGGUAAAAGAGAAAUUGACUGAAGAUUGGGUCGCGUCUGAUUAGCUAGGUGGUGAGGUGAAGGAACACCAAGGAAGCGAUCAAGCGCUUGUCUGAGAGGAAGGACAGCCACACUGGGACUGAGACACGGCCCAGACUCAUACGGGCGGCAGCAGGGGGGAAUUAUCCGCAAAGGGCGAACGACUGACGGAGCAAUACCGCGUGAGGGAAGAAGGCUCUUGGGUUGUAAACAUCUUUUCUUAGGGAAGAACAAAAUGACGGUACCUAAGGAAACAGCAUCGGCUAACUCCGUG
Molecule: ribosomal RNA, 435 nt
Filed under: uncultured bacterium
Lineage: Bacteria
Description: partial 16S ribosomal RNA
Rfam family: Bacterial small subunit ribosomal RNA
Source: RNAcentral